This 6155-nucleotide long non-coding RNA is filed under the name Homo sapiens (human). RNAcentral's name for it is "HSALNT0380937". The record is from RNAcentral. Lineage: Eukaryota; Metazoa; Chordata; Mammalia; Primates; Hominidae.
CGGCGGGGGCGGGGCUUGUGGGAACGGCCCACCGCAGGGUUGGCCACCUUGAGAAGCUGCGAAGAUGGCGGAGUAAGGCGUGCCGCUGCAAACUGGCCUCUGGGCCGGGGGCGAGCAGCCCCCGGGAGGCCGAGUGCAUCUGUUGGACCGUGCGAGGAGAAGAAAAAAAAUAUCGGCCAGAGGAGAGGAACUAACCGAACAUUCUUCCUCCCUACCUUAUAGAGGGGAGUGGUCAUCUACACUAAAGCAAAGUGUUAGGCGCGUCCGUGCGAAGAGACCACCAAACAGGCUUUGUGUUCCUUAUCACAGGAAGAAAAUUUUCCUUGACCUUUAGGUGCUUUUAUAUUCAUCUCAAAAACAAAAUUCUGAACUCAGGACUUGGCAAGUAAGUAAUUGUGGGCUAAUCGUUCCAAAUACUGUUUAAGUAGCUUGAAAACAGGUACAUAGAAGUGGAACAAUAAGCCGUUAGCUUCAGCAGAAGACGAACAUGAAAAAUGACUGUAAGCUAUUGAAAUUUAAGUUAAAUCUUUUAUUUUUCAACAAAAGAAAUGUAUUAAAUAAAAAGGAGUAAUCUUGAUCAUUUGCUCAAACUACCAAUAAUUUUCACUGUCUAAAGAAAACAGACACAUAUUUAAUUAGAUUGAAGGAAAUCAAAUGAUUAAAAAAUAGGCCUGGCCCGGUGGCUCACGCCUGUAAUCCCAGCAGUUUGGGAGGCCGAGGUGGGCAGAUACUUGAGGUCAGGAGUUUGAGACCAGCCUGGGCAACAUGGGGGAACCCUAUCUCUACAAAAAAUACAAAAAUUAAGCAGGUGUGGUGGCACGCGCCUGUAAUCCCAGCUACUUGGGAGACUGAGGCAGGAGAAUUGCUUGAACUUGGGAGGCGGAGGCUGCAGCGAGCCGAGAUUGCGCCACUGCGCUCCAUCCUGGGCCACAGAGACAGACUCCAUCUCACCCAAAAAUAACGAUUAAAAAAAAAUGUUACUGGGUGGUUUUAUUUAAAUAAAUUUUGUGUAUAUUUCAGGUAUACAACAUGAUGUUUUGGGAUGCAUAUAGAUAGUAAAAAGGUUUCUACAGUGAAGUAAAUUAACAUCCAUUGUCUCACAUAGCUAUUUUGUUUUUGUGGCAACAGCUAAAAUCUCAUUUAGCAUGGAUCCUGUUUACAGUAUAAUUUUAUUACCUAUAGUUGUCAUGUUGUACAUUAGAUCGUUAGACUUGUUCAGCCUACGUACCUGUUCCUUUAUAUUCUCUGACCUAUAUCUCUUCCUUUACUAACUCCCACAUCACUGUUUUGUUCUCUAACUCUGUAUAUUUGAUUUUUUAAAAAAAUUUCACAUGUAAAUGAGAUUGUGCAAUGUUUUUCUUUCAGUCCUCCUGACUCAUCUAUGCUGUGACAAAUGGCAAAAUAUUUUGUUUUUUUUUUUUUUUGAGACAGUCUUGCUGUCUUAGCACUUGCUCUGUCACUGCACUCAGGCUGGAGUGCAGUGGUGCUAUCUCAGCUCACUGCAACCUCUGCCUCCCUAAUUCAAGCGAUUCUUUUGCCUCUGCCUCCCAAGUAGCCAGGAUUACAGGUGUGCGCCACCACGCCUGGUUAAUUUUUAUAUUUUUUUAGUAGAGACAGGAUUUCACCAUUUUGGCCAGGCUGGUCUCAAACUCUUGACUUAAUCCCAAAGUGCUGGGAUUACAGGCAUAUGCCACUGCGCCUGGCCAAGAUCUCAUUCUUUUUUAGGGCUGAGUAACAUAUGCCAUCAUAUAUAUGCACUGUAGUUUCUACAGUUUAUCCAUUCAUCCAUUGAUGAUGGACAGUUAGGUUUUUUCUGUAUCUUGGCUAUUGUGAAUAAUGUUCCACUGAACAUAGGAGUGCAGACAUCUUUAUGAAGUGAUUUCAUGUUUUUUGGUUAUAUGCCCAGAAGAGGGAGUGCUGGGUUAUGUGGUGGUUCCAUUUUUAAUUUCUUUAGAAACCUCCCAGCUGGGCGCGGUGGCUCAUGCCUGUAAUCCUGGCUACUCAGGAGGCUGUGGCAGGAGUAUCGCUUGAACCUGGGAGGCGGAGGUUGCAGUGAGCUGAGAUCACACCACUGUACUCCAGCCUGGUGACAGUAAGACUCCACCUCAAACAAACAAAAAAUGCACAAAAGGAAAAAAUGUUCUGGAUAAAGAGCAUAUGAAAGGUACUUUCUUUUAGAACAGUAUGAAUGUAUAUGAAUUUAUCUUUAUGUGAGAAAUAAUCUUUUUUGUAAGUUAAAGGUUAAAGACCCUGCUUGUUUCCUAAAUCAGAGGGUUAGAGCUGUUGAAAUUAAACCUUUAUAGUGCUUAACCUGGAAACAAAUGUACUACAGCCCCACUGAAGCCGCUCUAUGGGUUUUUUGCUUACGAUGUUUUAGCAACAGGCAUUUAUUUUGUAGAAUGGUAUACUUUCUGCUUUGUCUCCUCAUCUUUCUCCACUGGUUUCCUGGGUACAUUUUUUUUAAAGGGAGAGAAGUUUGUGAGUUUAAUGUUUUAAAAAAACUCCCAAGAACAUGGAUAAGCCGGAUUUCUCUCAUGCUUAUGAUUAGGGAGUUAGGAUUUAAAGAUGCAAAGCAGAAGGACUGAAAGGAAUAGCCAGUGAAUAUGUUUCAGUGGGUGAGGUGUGAAACCUUGUCUAAUAUAGAUGUGUCCUAUGGCCUGUGACUGCUUAUUCUUUAUCAAUGAGAACUCAGCAAACUAGUUUCUUUCUUGAUCUGAGGAACCACACAGCUCACAUCAGAAUAUAAUAGUGGAACUAGGGUGACUUCACUCCCUUUCACCUGAUGUCUAUCUUGGCCUUUUAGCACCUUGACUAUCCCUGAAAAGACUGGGUCUUUGUUUUCCCAGGGAAAAAACGAAGUGAUGUAGAUCUAAGAAAUAGUGCCUCUUUAAUAUUUAAUUCUUACAUGACAACUAACACACAGGGAAAAGGCUAUGUUAAGUUGAUUAUAGCUCCUCUUAAAAUGUCCUAUGCUGUCAGUUGGUCUUAGAGACAUGGGAAUAACCAAGCAAUAUUCAGACAUCUGCACUAUCUGGGGACAGCGCUACAUAGUACAAUGAUGUCAGCAGUUCAGUUACUUGGAACAAUUAAAGAUUACCCUUAACAGCCAUGUUAAUACAUCUAAAUGCUAAAAUAUACUACGAGUUUUUCAUAGUCUUGAAAGUAUACAGUUAAUUACUUUUCAAAGUUACUGUGGUCUCAUGUUUACUCUUCUUGUAUCUGUGAUAUGCAAAAAGAUGAAGACUCUUGGCCUCCAGGAGUUUACAUUCUCAUGGUGCUGUUGGUUCAAGCAGAUUGCUUUAGUUUAUUAAUGAACAUUGCUUGGCUAUUAAUUAUAUCCUAUUUGGAAGGAUCCCUUGGUGAACAGUUUUAAAAAGCAGAGGGCUGUGCUAAAUUUCAGGGUAUUGAUAGCUUGAGUUUACAUUGUAUUAGCCCUGCUCGUUAUCAUUUUUUUCCCCAGGGAGCUAUGCAGGUAAUGCUCAUUAGCAUGAAUCAGAAAAGAAACCAUUCUGCCUAAGAGCAUCUUAACCAUCCCCCUAAACCACCUAUGCUCUCCUGUUAUAGUUGUCAGUAAAUCACGAAGAAAAUUAACAGCUCCUUAAGACUCUACAUCCCUCAAUUCUCUUUCUUUUCCCAGAGUUUGUACAUCAUUCUCUACUCAGAUGGACCAGGAUUUGCAUAUAAGCCUUUUAAAACUGACUAGUGGUCCUAAUUUUAACAUUUUUGUGUAUGACUCCUAUCCCUUUUCUGAAGCAGCAUUGUGAUAGAUGUGGAGCUUCUACCUGCAUUUCUAAGCAAUUAUUAACCCAACUUUUGAGUUGAAACUUGCAUGGAUCCUUGUUAUGUCCCGUAAUUCCUCUGAAUCAAGGAAUUUAUUUUGCAUGCUUAUUAAACUCAAACUGGGUCUGAUUGAAAGUGCAAGCAAUAGUGACAGGACCUUAACUCUGGUUUUAGAGUACGAACAUUCUAAUGCAUGACUCAAAAUGUCCAGUGUUGUGGUUACUAGUUAUUUUAUAUAUGCAUUUGUUAAUAAUGAAGCAAUAGAGACUAAGACCAAUAGCUUGAAUAUAUUCAGAUUAUUUUCAUGUUUUAAUAAAGGAUUUUUCUUACUUCCAUUGAAAAUGGGAAGUAGAAGAUAAACAGGGGCAACCACAAGACAUUCAAACUGUCAGGACUAGGGCGUAGCAGUGCCCACCCUCUAACCACUUGCCUGGUUCCAUUAGUCCCCAAGCAUGUUUGAAAACAAAAGACACAAACUAAGCAUGCUGAAUAAAACUAGCUGCUAUGGCUGUAAUAAUCAGAAAGGUGCAGAGUUUCAGAAAGAGUAGGAAAGUAGGGAAUGCCAGUAUGGAGUAUGUAAAAUAACUAGAUAUGGAUAUGGGGUUUGUUUAUGAUAUGCUUUAUGUAGACAAAGUUUGAGGUCUUUUAAAACUGGGAUUUGAGUUGAAAAGAGUCAGGAUGCACAUAUUUCCACUAUUUCAGGAUUUUCAGAUGACUAGGCACAUGUUGUGGAUGAUACUGGUACCAACUACCAAUGACCAACUAUAAAGUACCCCUGCAAUAAGGGAGACUUCCUUUUUGUAGAAUAGUCCUGAAAAUACUGACAGAUCUGUGGUUAGUUUGUUAUUUUAUUGCAUAAAAAACAGUUUAAACAAAUUUUAUAGCCAAAGUUUUAUCCUUGAUGGGUUUGGCCAGACUGCAAUUUCUUGACUAAAGCUUUUAAUGCCAGGUUAAACAGGAGAAACUUUUUCCACUAGAAGAAAAUCCUUGCUAUCUAUUUUUUCCAAUAGAAGAAAAUCCUUGCUAUUUAUUUUAUUUGAUGAAUAAACAAAUUUAUUGCAGUAGCUUAAAAAAAUUUUUUUUUUAAACAGUCUCACUCUGUCGCCCAGGCUGGAGUGAAGCAAUGUGAUCUCAGCUCACUGCAACCUCCACCUCCCGAGUAGCUGGGAUUACAGACAUGCACCACCACCCUCAGCUAAUUUUUGUAUUUUUAGUAGAGACGGGGUUUCGCCAUGUUGGCCAGGCUGGUCUUUAACUCCUGGCCUUACGUGAUCCGCCCCCCCUUAGCCUUCCAAAGUGCUGGGAUUACAGGUGUGAGCCACUGCACCUGGCCUGUAGUAGCUUAAAAUUUUCCUUGAGAAAAUUCCUGACUUUAAAAAUAACCCUUAUAUAAGUACAAGUGAUUGUGACAAAUGACGUAAAAAUGGCAUUCAUGAUGUCUGAAACAAGCCUAAAUAGAAUUCAAGAUUAGACUAAAUGAUUUUCACAAAGCACAUUCAAGGUUUUACAUUCUAUGAUUGAAAAAAAUUUUUUGAAAACUUUUUAUUUCAUUCUUUCCUGUAGGAUUUUGCUACAAAUAACUUUGGGAAUGAAUAAAGUGGAAUGGUAACUUUCCAGUGGUUCAGAAUUGAAUUAGACUUCUUGUGACUGUGAUGUUUGGUUUCCAUUGAAAUAUAUGAAGUGAGAUGUCAUAUCCUGAAUAUAGUUUGUCUUCCCCAAUUACUUGAUAGCAUGUCUGUCAGCCAGUAAAGAUUAAGAACAGAGUUUCUCUAAAUUCCUCCGAUUAUUCCACUAAGGCACAUUAAAAUACUUAAUUUUGGGAAACCAGACAUCACAGAUUUCUCCAUGAAGUCCUAAAUCUUCUUUAAAGUCAGAAUAGGUAUCUUAGUUACUGACAGUAUUCAGGUUUUUUUCUCCCUUGGUGAUAUGUCAUUCCAUCAGUGAAAAAAUAUUUUCUCCCAGGGAUAAGAAAGGUAUUCUGGUAAUACAUUAUCAUCAAUCCUUAAACAGUAACAGUCUUGGCACUUAUCACAAAACCGACCCAUUUCUUAUAACCAGAAAGAUUAUCUUAGACUGUCCUUCACAUUAUACUUUACCUACUGCCUUGUAAGAAUAAGAGUUGCUCACUGUGUUUACUUGCUGUCCUCCAUAUUCUCCAUUGCACCAUUGGUGUAUAACGUUAAGAGUUUCAUUGAAUAUUAUUUUAAGUAUUACAAAAGGCAGCUUGCUUCUUAAUCUAUGCAUCUUUGGGGUUUUUGAAGAAAUUUAAUUCUUUGAUGUAAAAAGGAACUGUUAAAAAAGUUGGAAGCUCUGCACCUGUGUAUAUAUAUAUUUUAGCAAUAAAGCAGCAUGGGCUGAGAAUGCACUGAAAUCUC